RNAcentral lists this unclassified non-coding RNA (395 nucleotides) under soil metagenome. Its description in RNAcentral is "partial contains 5.8S ribosomal RNA, internal transcribed spacer 2, and large subunit ribosomal RNA". The stretch from base 1 to 121 matches the Rfam family "5.8S ribosomal RNA", at positions 35 to 154 of the family's 154-position model. The record is from RNAcentral.
GAUGAAGAACGUAGUGAACGUGCGAAACGUAAUGUGAAUUGCAGAAUUCAGUGAAUCAUCGAAUCUUCGAACGCAUCUUGCGCUCCUUGGUAUUCCGAGGAGCAUGCCUGUUUGAGUGUCGUGAAUACUCUCAACUUCAACCCUUUUUUCGGAAAGGGAGGAAGGUUGGACUUGGGUGUUUGUUGAAGUGCGAGCUUCGACUCAUCCUAAAUGCAUUAGCGAUCUGCCUCGAUCACACACAAUGUGAUAAUUAAAACUAAAGCAUUGUUUAAUGAUCAAGUCGAGACUGCUUCUAACUGUCGCAAGACAAUAACGUGCAUACAUUUGUGCAUGUCAUUUGACCUCAAAUCAGGUAGGACUACCCGCUGAACUUAAGCAUAUCAAUAAGCGGAGGA